RNAcentral lists this ribosomal RNA (441 nucleotides) under uncultured bacterium. RNAcentral describes it as "partial 16S ribosomal RNA". It matches the Rfam family "Bacterial small subunit ribosomal RNA", at positions 338 to 795 of the family's 1533-position model. The record is from RNAcentral.
CCUACGGGUGGCAGCAGUGGGGAAUAUUGGGCAAUGGGCGCAAGCCUGACCCAGCAACGCCGCGUGAAGGAAGAAGGCUUUCGGGUUGUAAACUUCUUUUAAGAGGGAAGAGCAGAAGACGGUACCUCUGGAAUAAGCCACGGCUAACUAAGUGCCAGCAGCCGCGGUAAUACGUAGGUGGCAAGCGUUGUCCGGAUUUAUUGGGCGGAAAGGGUGCGUAGCGGGCAUAGUAAGUCUUAUGUAAAAAGGCGGUGCUCAACCCAGUAGGGCAAAAGAGACUGCAAUGCUAGAGUAUGCCAGAGGCAAGUGGAACUCCUUGUGUAGCGGUCAACUGCGUACAUCUCUCUCAGAACUCCAGUUGCGAAGGCGGCUUGCUGGGUCGCUACUGACAUUGAGGCACGAAAGCGUGGGUAGCAAACAGGCUUAGAUACCCUGGUAGUC